GCAAACUCAUCAUUAGACAUUAUACUACACGAUACGUACUAUGUUGUUGCACACUUUCACUAUGUACUAUCAAUAGGAGCUGUAUUUGCUAUCAUAGGAGGCUUCAUUCAUUGAUUCCCCUUAUUUUCAGGCUAUACUCUACACCAAACUUAUGCCAAAGCCCACUUCACCAUCAUAUUUGUAGGUAUAAAUUUAACCUUCUUCCCACAACAUUUCCUCGCCUUAUCCGGAAUACCCUGACGCUACUCUGACUACCCCGAUGCCUAUACCAGAUGAAAUAUCUCAUCCAUAGACUCCUUCAUUUCCCUAGUAGCAGUAAUACUAAUAAUAAUCUACAUAACCUGAGAAGCCUUCGCCUCAAAAUGUAAAGUCUCAUUAAUUGAACAGCCCUCUACCAACCUAGAGUGACUGCAUGGUUGCCCUCCACCCUACCAUACAUUUGAAGAACCAACCUACAUUAAACUAAACGAAAAAGGAAAGAAUUGAACCUCCUAAAACUGGUUUCAAGCCAGCCCUGUGACCUCCACAACUUUUUCAAUAAGAUAUUAGAAAAACUAUUUCAUAGCUUUGUCAAAGCUAAAUCAUAGGUUAAACCCUAUAUAUCUUAUAUGGCUCACCCAGUUCAACUAGGCCUACAAGAUGCUAUAUCCCCUAUCAUAGAAGAAUUAAUUGCUUUUCAUGACCACACUUUUAUAAUUGUAUCCUUAAUUAGCUUUCUAGUCCUAUAUGCCCUGUCUUCAGCUCUCACAACAAAACUAACCAACACCAAUAUCACGGACGCCCAAGAAAUAGAAACCAUUUGAACCAUCUUACCCGCAAUCAUUUUAAUCUUAAUUGCUCUUCCAUCCCUGCACAUCCUGUAUCUAACAGACGAGAUCAACAACCCCUCUUUUACUAUUAAAUCAAUUGGACACCAAUGAUACUGAACCUAGGAAUACACAGAUUACGGAGGAUUAAACUUUAACUCUUAUAUACUCCCCCCAUUGUUCUUAAACCCAGGAGACCUUCGACUUCUAGAAGUUGACAACCGAGUAGUUCUCCCAGUUGAAGCCCCUGUCCGAAUAAUAAUUACAUCUCAAGACGUCCGACACUCAUGAACAAUUCCUAUUCUAGGCCUAAAAACAGAUGCAGUUCCUGGACACCUGAAUCAAACCACAUUCACAGCUACACGACCAGGUGUAUACUACGGACAAUGCUCAGAAAUCUGCGGUGCUAACCACAGCUUCAUACCCAUUGUCACAGAAUUGAUUCCACUAAAAAUUUUUGAGAUAGGGCCUGUAUUUACCCUAUAG
This is a non-coding RNA of Chlorocebus sabaeus (green monkey), 1292 nucleotides long. Lineage: Eukaryota; Metazoa; Chordata; Mammalia; Primates; Cercopithecidae. The record is from RefSeq and is a predicted model, not a curated record.